This 230-nucleotide ribosomal RNA is filed under the name uncultured bacterium. RNAcentral's name for it is "partial 16S ribosomal RNA". It matches the Rfam family "Bacterial small subunit ribosomal RNA", at positions 15 to 236 of the family's 1533-position model. The record is from RNAcentral.
GAUCAUGGCUCAGGAUGAACGCUAGCUACAGGCUUAACACAUGCAAGUCGAGGGGCAGCAUGAACUUAGCUUGCUAAGUUUGAUGGCGACCGGCGCACGGGUGAGUAACACGUAUCCAACCUGCCGAUGACUCGGGGAUAGCCUUUCGAAAGAAAGAUUAAUACCCGAUGAAUUCGUUUAGUCGCAUGGCUUGAUGAAGAAAGAUUUAUCAGUAAAGGAUGGGGAUGCGU